Symphalangus syndactylus (siamang) is the source of this 1250-nucleotide long non-coding RNA. RefSeq lists it as uncharacterized. Lineage: Eukaryota; Metazoa; Chordata; Mammalia; Primates; Hylobatidae. The record is from RefSeq and is a predicted model, not a curated record.
CUCCAUUGCCUCCAUAAUUACAAGAUGCUCUUAGCCCGACUCCCACGGACUCCCAUCACCCAGCGCUCGGCUCUCUCGGUGGGGAGGAGGGCAGAGAAUGUUUCACUGUCCCCCUGUCUUCUGUGGCAUCCUUUGCCUUGCAACCACAGCCCACCUAGCCCAGGCCAAGGGAGUCCGACCCCCACCCCGAAGCACAGGGAAGUUGCUGCCCUUUCCCGCAGUGACAGAAAUCCUCUCAAGGGCUCUGGAAGACAAGGAUGCGGCCAUCCCUGGAGACGCCAAGGACCAUCAUGUGAGGUGGCUUUUUAUCCUCCUCGCCCCUACUGGUACAGAUGAGAAGAAACUGCGACUCAGAAGUUAAGCAUUUUCCCAUGGUCACUGGGCUACACAGAAAGGCCAGGAUUUGAACCCAAGCUUCUGCUUCCACCCAUCUUCAUUAGGAGUCAAGUUAUAUUGUGGGUCUCAACCAUGGCUGCUCACUGGAAUUACCUGGAAGCUUCACAAGUACUGAUGUCUGUGUCCCCAGCCCAGAGGUUCUGGUGUCAUUGUCUGGGCGUGGCCUAGCCUUAGUUCUGCAAAAGCUCCCUAGGCAGUUCCACUGGAUGAAGUUGAGAACCACUGAUACAGAGUGACCUCACCUCCCCACCCUCCAUGGAGGUGCUAUGGUUUGAAGAGCAAAACUCAUGUUGAAAUUUAACUGUUCUUGCACCUCCUGCAGAGCCUGGGAUCUCCCAGUCCAGCCAAGGAUGUUAGAUCUCAUGGUCCUAAGUACUUCGUUGACACCCCAUUCCCCUCAGUAAAAUAGUUUGACCCCUUCUCUGCCAAAAAAAAAAAAAAAGAAAUUUAAUUGCCAUGAUGAUGGCAUUAAAAGGUGGGACCUUUAAGAGGUGAUCAGGUUAUGAGUGUUCAGCCCUCAUGAAUGGAUUAAUGCCAUUAUCUUGGGAGUGGAUUAGUUAUCCCAGGAAUGGAGUUCCUGAUAAAAAGGAUGACUUUGGCCUGAUUUCCUGUCUCUGUCUCAUGUGCUGGGUUCUGCCUUCUGCCAUAGGAUGACCCUUGCCAGAUGCCAGCGCCAUGUCCUUAGACUUCCCAGCCUCUGGAACUGUGACCCUAAUGAAUUACUGUUCAUUAUAAACUACGCAGUCAGUGGUAUUCUGUUAUAGCAAGCAGAAAAUGGGUGAGGACAGUGGGCAAGGGUAUAAUGAACAACCUUUAAAGAAAGAUACCAUUAAUAAAAAGCUAACAUUCAGCUA